This is an RNA transcript of Mizuhopecten yessoensis (Yesso scallop), 401 nucleotides long. It is a transcript of the gene named zygote arrest protein 1-like, with no coding region annotated. Lineage: Eukaryota; Metazoa; Mollusca; Bivalvia; Pectinida; Pectinidae. The record is from RefSeq and is a predicted model, not a curated record. The transcript is spliced from 2 exons.
ACGAAAGUGAAAGUAGAUUCCGGAAAGCAAAUAUAACCUUAAAUUACUGAAUUUAAGUUUAAUUUGAUCGAUCAUUAGUCGAUCAUCAGUCACUUGAUUGGAAGUGAUGACCGAGUAUGAAUUUACAAGUGAUCCCCAAUACUAACGGUAUACUACAAGCAGGAAUGCAAGAACUGCAAGACAGCAUGUAACCCGUACAGAGUAGAAGACGUGAAGUGUCCUAAGUGUGGUAAGCCUGCUAAAGAAUGUCAUGGUAUGUGUGACGACUCCGACGACGACUAUGGAGGCAAUAGCGACUACGACUCCGACGACGGGGAUUCAAAAAAGCCUCACCGAGCGGACCUGUGUCAAAAGUGUCGAUCUGGCUGGCCGUGUAGGUAAAGGCUUGUCUAGCUCAGUUU